UAGUUUUGUCUGUUAAUUUCUGAUUCUGAGUUUUUUAACAUUAAAUUUUGUAUCCUAGGUAAUCAUACCACGACUAACAUGAACUCCAAGACUUCGAUGCACUCCUGAGCAUCUAACAAGUGUUAAUGAUUUCAAUUUUAAGCAGCUAUUACUUACCUGAUACAAAUGAAAACACCCAAGUUCCAACUUGCCCAUCGUGGUUG
This is a non-coding RNA of Schizosaccharomyces pombe (fission yeast), 203 nucleotides long. NCBI's taxonomy places the organism in Eukaryota, Fungi, Ascomycota, Schizosaccharomycetes, Schizosaccharomycetales, Schizosaccharomycetaceae. The record is from the annotation of a GenBank genome assembly.